This 253-nucleotide ribosomal RNA is filed under the name uncultured bacterium. Its description in RNAcentral is "partial 16S ribosomal RNA". It matches the Rfam family "Bacterial small subunit ribosomal RNA", at positions 524 to 776 of the family's 1533-position model. The record is from RNAcentral.
UACGUAGGUGGCAAGCGUUGUCCGGAUUUAUUGGGCGUAAAGGGCGCGUAGGCGGCCACGCACGUCCGUUGUGAAAUCGCCCGGCUCAACUGGGCGGGGUCGGCGGAUACGGCGUGGCUGGAGCAAGCUAGGGGGCAAUGGAAUUCCCGGUGUAGUGGUGGAAUGCGUAGAUAUCGGGAGGAACACCAGUGGCGAAGGCGGUUGCCUGGAGCUUUGCUGACGCUGAGGCGCGAAAGCGUGGGGAGCGAUCCGG